GACGAACGCUGGCGGCGUGCUUAACACAUGCAAGUCGAACGGUGACGAGGAGCUUGCUCCUCUGAUCAGUGGCGAACGGGUGAGUAACACGUGAGUAACCUGCCCCAGACUCUGGGAUAACAGUUGGAAACAGCUGCUAAUACCGGAUACGAGACGGAGAGGCAUCUCUACCGUCUGGAAAGUUUUUCGGUCUGGGAUGGACUCGCGGCCUAUCAGCUUGUUGGUGAGGUAAUGGCUCACCAAGGCGACGACGGGUAGCCGGCCUGAGAGGGCGACCGGCCACACUGGGACUGAGACACGGCCCAGACUCCUACGGGAGGCAGCAGUGGGGAAUAUUGCGCAAUGGGCGAAAGCCUGACGCAGCAACGCCGCGUGAGUGAAGAAGGCCUCGG
RNAcentral lists this ribosomal RNA (392 nucleotides) under uncultured bacterium. RNAcentral describes it as "bacterial SSU rRNA". It matches the Rfam family "Bacterial small subunit ribosomal RNA", at positions 28 to 420 of the family's 1533-position model. The record is from RNAcentral.